GUGGUAUCCGUUGAGGAAAGGAGAGGAGCUUAUGCGAUGCAGGUGAACCAGGGAGCAACAUUACUCGCUCUGGCGCUGUGUGCAGUCUUCUCACUAGUGCUGGGCAUGGAAAGCAAACGGAAGCUCCAGAUUGGGGUCAAGAAGCGGGUGGACAACUGCCCCAUCAAGUCCCGCAAGGUCUGCCAAAAAAGCUGAAAAACAUCUUCAUGUAUGCGACAACGGCCGCGAGAGUUUUAGUAGCACAAGGAUGGAAGACAGAAGAAACCCCAACUAAAGAAUUAUGGCAAGAAAAAUUGAUGGACUAUGCAGAACUGGCAAAACUGACAUACAAGCUACGGGACAAGGAUAACUGUGACUUUAAAGAUGAAUGGGAACCCUUUACAAAAUAUUUGAAGACGCAACAAAGCAAACUGGACUCCUUGGCUGGUUUUGAAUAACCAUUCACAAACUUUUUAUUGAUAAUUAUUACUUAAAUAGUUUGAGGAUCUAUACAACUGUGUAACAUGCAGAAAACAGCAUUUUUAGAGAAAUCAAAGACUGGAACUGAGGGAAGUCGGGGGGUGGGUGGGUUCUGUGGGGGGAGGAAAAAAAGGGGGGGAAAUAAGGAUGAUAUGUUUCUAGAUAAUAUGUUUUGUCUUAAUUUUGAAUAAAAAAGUAAUUAAAAAAAAAAGUCCCGCAAGGGUGAUGUGCUCCACAUGCAUUAUACGGGCAAGUUGGAGGAUGGGACAGAGUUUGACAGCAGCCUGACUUGUCAUCAGCCGUUUAUCUUCUCCUUGCGGACUGGACAAGUCAUUAAAGGCUGGGAUCAGGGCCUGCUUGGGAUGUGCAAGGGUGAGAAGAGAAAGCUGGUCAUCCCCUCUGAGCUGGGUUAUGGGGAC
Non-coding RNA from Podarcis lilfordi (Lilford's wall lizard), 878 nucleotides. The record is from the annotation of a GenBank genome assembly. NCBI's taxonomy places the organism in Eukaryota, Metazoa, Chordata, Lepidosauria, Squamata, Lacertidae.